GACGAACGCUGGCGGCGUGCUUAACACAUGCAAGUCGAGCGGAGCGGCGAACGGGUGAGUAACGCGUGAGUAACUGCCCCCCUCUCUGGGAUAACAGUUGGAAACGGCUGCUAAUACCGGAUAGUGGGGGAUGACUCGCGUCCUAUCAGCUUGUUGGUGGGGUAGUGGCCUACCAAGGCGACGACGGGUAGCCGGCCGGAGAGGGCGACCGGCCACGAGGGGCUGAGAUACGGCCCAAGCUCCGACGUGAGGCAGCGGUGGUGAAUAUUGCACAAUGGGGGAACCCCUGAUGAAGCAACGCCGCGUGCGGAAAGACGGGCUGCGGGUUGUAAACCGCUUUCAGCCAUGACGCGGUAGUGGCAGAAGAAGCACCGGCUAACUACGUGCCAGCAGCCGCGGUAAUUC
RNAcentral lists this ribosomal RNA (405 nucleotides) under uncultured bacterium. RNAcentral's name for it is "partial 16S ribosomal RNA". It matches the Rfam family "Bacterial small subunit ribosomal RNA", at positions 28 to 526 of the family's 1533-position model. The record is from RNAcentral.